Molecule: ribosomal RNA, 460 nt
Filed under: uncultured bacterium
Lineage: Bacteria
Description: partial 16S ribosomal RNA
Rfam family: Bacterial small subunit ribosomal RNA
Source: RNAcentral
CCUACGGGUGGCAGCAGUGAGGAAUAUUGGUCAAUGGACGAGAGUCUGAACCAGCCAAGUAGCGUGAAGGAUGACUGCCCUAUGGGUUGUAAACUUCUUUUAUAAAGGAAUAAAACGAGGCACGUGUGCCUUUUUGCAUGUACUUUAUGAAUAAGGAUCGGCUAACUCCGUGCCAGCAGCCGCGGUAAUACGGAGGAUCCGAGCGUUAUCCGGAUUUAUUGGGUUGAAAGGGAGCGUAGAUGGGUUGUUAAGUCAGUUGUGAAAGUUUGCGGCUCAACCGUAAAAUUGCAAUUGAUACUGGCAGUCUAGAGUACAGUUGAGGUAGGCGGAAUUCGUGGUGUAGCGGUGAAAUGCUUAGAUAUCACGAAGAACCCCGAUUGCGAAGGCAGCUUACUAAACUGUGACUGACAUUGAUGCUCGAAAGUGUGGGUAUCAAACAGGAUUAGAUACCCCAGUAGUC